Molecule: long non-coding RNA, 10148 nt
Filed under: Olea europaea subsp. europaea
Lineage: Eukaryota; Viridiplantae; Streptophyta; Magnoliopsida; Lamiales; Oleaceae
Source: RNAcentral
GCCAUCUCCAUACAGCAUGUCUUCAUCUUCACCAUCAUCAUAUACAUGUUGUCCAACCUCCUAAAAUUUCCUUACUAAAUCCUCCUCAAUCAAGAGAUUUUUAUUCUUCUGACUAGUCAACUUCCUGCAAUCAGUCGCCCUAUGUCCUUGAUCACCACAUCUAAAACACUUGACAUAUUAGCUAGAAUUGUUCCACGGAGGCUAAUAUGCAGGAAGGGGUUCUUGAGGACCAAUUGGCUGACUAUUUUCACCUUUGACCACUGGCCUCCUAUUUUGCUGCUUCUCCAUGGCAAGUACAUCUAGUAUGCUUCAAAAGUUGUCGACAAUGAAUAAAGGGUGAGAACAUCAUGCAAGGGCUGGUUUAGUCCUCUAAAAUACCAUGCCACCAUCUGUUAUUCCAGACUACCAACUGAUAGAACUCUUCCAUAUAUUUAUUAACCGAUCUUGUGCCUUAUCUCAGUGAAUGGAGACGUUGAAACAAGGUUCGAGUGUAGCUGAAAGGAAGAAAAUGACCUUUCAUCUUUUUCUUCAUCUUUUCCCAAUCAGUGAUAUUGGACUUGCCCUUCUGCUCUUGUGAAUGCCUCAAUUGUUUCCACUAUGCCGAAGUUCUACCAUUGAGUUUGAUGGAGACCAAUUUAACUUUGACAUGAUCUGGGAUCUCCUUAUACUCAAAAAUUCACUCCACUUCAUUCAACCAAUCAAUAAAACCUUCGACUUGUAAUGUACUAGAAAACUCAGGGAGAUCCAUGUUGAAACCAAGGUCUCCAUGGCGAUCCUCCAAGACUCGAGCACAAUUAUGAUAUGGAUUUUCUAAACUAGAAUUGGAAUCAUGACCCUUCACUUCAUGAUUACGGAUCUCCUGUUCCGUCGAUGUUGGGUUAGCUCCGUAACUUGUCUCUGCAAAUCUUCACUCGUCACAUCCUGAACAUUACGAUCACGGUGUGGGACUUCCUCAAUUGGAACCUAUCCACGAUGACCAUGAUCACAUCGCGCCGAAAAGAGUUUUUCGGAUAGGGGUCAUAAUUGAUAACUGUAGCCAAAGUUAUUGCAAAAUUACCAAAACGUGUCAAAAUUGCCCCAAUUAAAAAAAGUAUGCAAUCACUUUCUAUCUUUGCGUCGAUCUGCCAUCUCAUAAUAUCUCAAUGCCAUCAACGUGCCAUCUAAUAUUUCGACCUCACUUAGUUCGGAACCUCCUGCAUCAAAAGGUGAACCUAAAACCCCACUAUAUGGUGAAAUGGUCUUCCAAAAGAUUGAACUUUACAAGGAAUUCUAAGUUAACAAAAUCAUUAAAUAAUAUUCACUUCAUCAAUUAAAUAGAUCCUCUAGUAAGUUUACAAGCAAUCUUAAUUUGUAAACCAAUAAAAAAAAAUAGUCAAUUGUUAACCAAAUAUCAAGGAAGAGAAACCACUAGAUGUAAAGCUACGAAAUCCGACGGAGAGGAAUUAUAGAAGUUUGCACAUCAAAUGCACACUUAUAAAAGGGAGAUAAGCAAGUUAAUUUGAAUUUUAGAGAGAAAAACAAUGUACAUUUCAUUUCCUGUUCGACAUUCCGAACACAUAAAAAGAUAAGAAACAAUAUGAUUCAACAUUAAUUCAAAAAAUAUAUAUUAAUUUAUUUUCUCAUCUCAGGAUUGCAACCGCAUAAAAUUACAAUGAAUAAUAAUCUUCAAAAAUAAAUUUGCACACAAGAUGAAUGAUGCUUAUACAUAUAAAAAUAAAAGAGUAAGCAUUUUAAGUUGACUUCAUUCUCUUGUCUCAAUCUCAAAAACUCUUGCAUCAUCUUCAAUGGCUGCAAUACAAGCAACAAAAUAUUCACCACAGCACGACUUUACUGAAAAAAGAAAAAGAGAGAGAGAAAGAGAAAAAGAAACACCCAUGUAAUCUAUAAUCUUUUUGAAACAAUAAUGUUAUCUUCUAAUAUUUACAAGUUAAGGACCAGUAUAACAGACUCACAACAAGAAGAUAAUGAAAGAAGCAGGAAUAGGGGGUUAUUAAGGUUAUCUGAUGUACCCAACUGAGAAUUGUCAUUCUCCAUGUUAGACAUCAUGUUGUCAAACGACCUCCCGGACGAUGAUGAAAACCAAUUUUAUUAGUCGACAUGAAUGACUGAACAAUAAAUCAACACUGAAUAAUGGAUGAACUGACCUAGCGUUGCUUUACCUAUUGGAUGGCUAAUAAUCUUUGUGGCUUGUUGUUUUGCUACUGGGACUUAACCCUAGUUGAACCUACUUACCGUAUUAUAACUUACCUUAAGUGGUCUUUGGACUAAUAUAUAUAUAUUGGUAAUUCUCUCCUUCUCCUUUGUGCCGUGCAUGAGAGAACCCGAGAGAGAGAGGCAUUCUUCUUCUUCUUCUCCUUCAUACAUCCUGUCAAUUAAUCUUCCCUACCAAUUGCUUGAGGCUUUGUGACUCUUACCUGUGUGGUAUCCAUCCUAAGUGUGUGGUAGAAUCAAAAAGCAAAAGAGCAAUAGCAACCAUAGGAAGAAAUUGGCGCUGGCGAUCGGUCAUCUCGAUUUUGGUGUUGAAUUCGAUGUUUAAUGGUUAACUGAGCCCGAAAAUCACUUUGAGCAGCUUGAGGAAGAUCCUAACAUCUGGUAUCAGAGCUUGGGUAGCACAAAAAGCUCAAAAUCGGCUGAUUUUCGGACAUUAAACUUAGAACCCUAAUCUGAAAAUUAUCAAUUACUCACAAACCAAAGCUCGGUUGGACAAACGAAGGCCAUACCCAUCACUAGCAGGUCGAGGUGCUCCCGGAGAGGUGGCAUGUGGACAACGGCGGCAGCGCGUGGGCGGCUGUUCGGCGACGCUGUCUUCAGGUAACUUGCUUGUUUCGAUCUCCUGAACGCGCUGAUAUACUUUGUUUUGUGUUUCAGGUUACACAGAAAAAGUUGGACGAUUUUGCCCCUGAUGCGACACCGACUGAAAUUUAACAGCAAGUUCGUUUUUCUCCACUUUACGGACUCAGAUAGGUUCGCUUUGGUAAAUUGGCUUAAUCCAUUUAAAUUCAGCAAUAGCAAGAUCAUCGUGUGGGGUGAUCGUUAGGUUUUGGAGUUACCGUGAAGGGGUAACCAUUGCUUGUGCUAGAACUAGGAUUACUUGCAUUAAUUGAGUGCUUGUUCUUUUGAUUUAAAGUGCUUGGUAUUUCUUGGUGGACGUAGCGUUUAGGUUCAUUGUUACUUUUGCUAAGAAUUAACAAGAUAUUACCUUAUCACGCUUCCUAAUACUACUUCGUGUGGUUUAAUUAGUGUGUUAACCAAUGACAACACAUAAUUUUGAUUUGGGAAUUUUUAACGGUAAAGGGGACUUCUCUAUCUGGCAACAAAAGAUGAGAGGCAUACUAGUCCAACAAAAGGUGUUAAAAGCCAUCGAAGGCAAUUUUGCACCUGACAUCUCAAAAGAACAAAAAGAGGAAGCCAAUGAGCUUGCCUAUACCUCAAUAAUAUUACACUUGUCUGACGCUGUCUUAAGAAAAGUGGGAAAACUAAAAAUCACCAAAGAACUUUGGAAAAGACUAGAAGACUUAUACUUGCUUAAAUCUACACCGAAUAAACUCUACCUACUCGAACGAUUCUUAAGCUUUAAAAUGGAUCCUUCAAAGGAUCUCGACGACAAUUUAGAUGUAUUUAACAAAUUGGUACAAGAUAUUGUCAAUUGUGACGAAGCCGUGUCUAAAACCUAUAAGGCCAUUAUCUUGCUCAAUUCAAUCCAGGACUCUUAUAAAGAAGUUAAAAAUUCCAUUAAGUAUGGUAGGGACACGUUAACACCUGAAAUUGUCGUAGAUUCUCUUAGAAGUAAGGAGGUGGAAAUGAGGGCUGAAAAAUAGGAUAGGAGGAGUGGAGAGUUGCAUAUGAUGCGGGGUAGAACUCAAUUUAGGCAAGCCAGUCAUGAUGGAUACCAAAGUAGUGGCGAAUCAAGUAGUAAUAGUUGGAAAAAGAAGGGGAAUGGUAGACCUAGAUCAAAGUCUAGAACUAAGGCUAGAAAAUGCUAUGGCUGUGGAGGCACAGGGCAUUUUAUGAAAGACUGUCAUAAAGAAAAGGGAAAACAAAAGGUUAAGGAAAGAAAUGAGGUAAAUGUGCUAUCCUCUACCUCCGAUACCGAAAACAGUGAAGUCUAUGUGAUCACUAGUCCAGUCGUAUACACUACUGAAUUAAAUCUAACUACUAAUUCUCACAUGCAUGAGUGGAUAGUAGAUUCUGGUGCGUCUUUUCAUGUGACAUUUGAAAAGAACUGGUUUGAAAACUUGCAAGAAUCUAAUGAUGGGCAAGUAGUUCUGUGUGAUAAUUUCGCCUAUACAAUUGCUGGAAUUGUAGAUAUAAAGAUAAAAUUUAACACAGGCUUUGUGUACAUGUUAAAGGAAGUUAGAUACAUUUCGGAAUUAUCUAGAAAUUUGAUUUCAGUAGGAAGACUUGAGAAAGACAACUUCACCAGUAAAAUUGAAAACUGUAUGUUUAAAAUGAUGAAAGGUGCGUUAAUCUCUAUUAAGGGAAUCAAGAAAAAUGACAUUUACAUCACUACUGGGGAAGUGAUUAGAGGAUUAAACUCCUCUAUUUCUUCUGCCAAAAUCGAUCACACACAUACGUGGCAUAGUAGGCUUGCACACGUAAGCAUUAAAGGACUUAAGCUACUUAAUGAAAAAGGUGCAUUUGGUAAUGACUGUUUGUCUGACCUAUCGUUCUGUGAUCACUGUGUGCUUGGAAAGCACCAUAGAGUGUCGUUCUCCACUAGUACGCAUAAGGAUAAAAGCAUGCUUGAAUAAGUGCAUUCUGAUCUGUGGGGUCCUGCUAGUAAUCCCACAUCGGGUGGGAAUAGAUAUUUCCUAUCUAUCAUAAAUGACUACACUAGGAAAGUGUGGGUCUAUCUAUUGAAAGAUAAAACUGAAACCUUCCAUAACUUUAACAACUGGAAGAAACAAAUAGAAAAUCAAACUAGCAAGAGGAUCAAAUUUUUAAGGACAGAUAACGGCCUAGAAUUCUGUAAUGCUAAAUUCAAUAGGAUGUGUAAAGAAAGUGGAAUAACAAGGCACAAAAUGGUUCCUUAUACUCCCCAGCAAAACGGGGUAGCAGAAAGAAUGAAUAGGACCAUAUUAGACAAAGUGUGCUGCAUGAUGUUAAGUUCUGGGGUUCCUAAGUCAUUUUGGGGUGAAGCCGUUGUCAUUGCCUGUUAUCUAAUAAAUUUGACUCCAUCGGCUGCAUUAAAUGGUGAUACUCCACAUGAGAAAUGGUCUGAAAAAUUGGGUGACUACUCAAUGCUUAAAGCGUUUGGCUGUGCUGCCUUUUCUCAUCAAAGUGAGGGAAAGUUAGAACCUAGAGCCAGGAAGUGUGUCUUUCUAGGAUAUCCUGAAGGGCUAUAGGCUAUGGGAUAGAAGCCAAAAAGGAGUUAAGAUCAUCGUGAGUAGGGAUGUCACAUUUAAUGAGAGUGAGAUGCCUUGUCUAAAGAACGAAACCGAACCUGUAAGUGAAACUGAAUCAAGUGAAGAGAAAAAUCGGUUUAAGGUGGAGUUAGGAAAAUUUAACACAUCAGUACCUAGUACUUUGAGUGAGGUGGAGAUUCAGGUCCAAGAACCCGAAGAGGAAAAUGAAGUAGUAAUAGAAGAGCAUCCUGAGGAAGAAAAUCCAUUAGCUAACUAUAAUUUAGUUAGAGAUAGAGAGAGAAGAUAAACGAGAGAACCUAGAAGGUUCGGGUAUGAAUCUGAAUUGGAUUUUGCAUACGCUAGUUACGAAGAACUAGUUGAUAGGGAGCCGGAAACUUUUGAAGAGGCUAUGAAUAGUGGUCAAUCUAAGGAGUGGCUUAAGGCUAUGAAAGAAGAGAUGAGUUCUCUAGAAAAGAAUCAAACUUGGACCGAGACCUAAGAAUAAAUCAAUCGUUGAUUGCAAGUGGGUCUUUAAGGUUAAGAAAGGUACUAGUAGUACAGAACCCUUAAGAUUUAAGGCUAGGUUAGUAGCGAAGGGUUACACACAAAAAGAAGGUGUUGAUUAUAAUGAGAUUUUCUCACCAGUUGUCAAGUACACUACUAUUAGGGUCAUGCUCGCAUUGGUUGCGCUCUUUGACUGGGAACUUGAACAACUCGAUGUAAAAAACCGCUUUUUUACAUGGAGAGCUUGAUGAACAAAUCUUUAUGAAUCAACCAAAAGGUUUUAAAAACAAGUUAAAACCUGAUUAUAUGUGUUUUCUGAGAAGAUCCCUAUACGGUCUAAAGCAAUCACCUAGACAGUGGUACAAGAGGUUUGAUUCCUUUGUACUCACUAUAGGAUUUCAAAGAAGUAAAUUCGAUCACUGCCUAUACUUUCAACACAACGAGACUGAUAACAAUUAUUUAUUUUUGUUGCUCUAUGUGGACGACAUGCUUUUAGUUGGAUCAUCUCCUAAGUGGAUAAACAAUAUAAAAGUAGAUCUUAGUGGAGAAUUUGACAUGAAAGACCUAGGAAAGGCUAAAAGGAUUUUAGGCAUGAAAAUAGAACGAAAUAGGUCAAAUUCCAUCGUAUUCUUGCAUCAGUCUCCAUACAUAUCAAAGGUGUUGAAAAGGUUUAAUAUGAGUGACUGCAAACCUGUCACGUUGCCUCUUGCAAACCAUUUUGUUCUAUCUAAAGAACAAGCUCCCUGCAAUGAACGUGAAGUGGAAUACAUGAGUAAAAUUCCAUACUCAAAUGUGAUUGGUUCCAUAAUGUAUUUGAUGGUUUGCACUAGAUCAGACUUAGGAUUCACUGUUAGUACUUUCAGUAGGUACAUGUCUAAUCCAGGUCCUAAACAUUGGGAAGCAUUAAAGUGGCUUUUAAGAUAUUUGAAGGGUACAAGUGACGCAGGUCUAAAAUCUAGUGCUAAUAAGGAAGGCGUGAAAUUAAAGGGUUUUGUAAAUGCUGACUAUGCAGGAGAUAGGGAUGGUAGGAAAUCAACUUCCUCUUACGUAUUCACCUUAUCAAAUUCGUGUGUUAGUUGGAAAUCACAGUUACAACACAUAGUUGCACUAUCCACUACAGAGUCAGAAUAUAUUGCCACCACUGAAGCAAUUAAAGAGGCUCUAUGGCUUAGAGGUCUACUUCAUGAACUGAGUGUCUUGAAUGAGUAUGUGGUUGUGUACUCUGAUAGUCAGUUAUCCAUACAUCUGUGUAAGAAUCUUGUUUUUCACGAACGCACUAAACAUAUCGAUGUUAGGUUACACUUCAUUAGGGAUAUAAUAUCACAAGAAGUAGUAAAAUUUGAAAAAAUUCACACACAAUAUAAUCCUUCAAAUAUGGGCAUGAAAGUGCUGUCAUUGGUAAAGUUUAGAAGUUGUAAGGAGCUUCUAAACAUCGGUACAGGUAAAUGAUUUCAAUUUUAUCGAUUUUCUAUUAGAGGUGUCACUAAUGGAAAACGUUUUUCUUUGCAAGUCCUUUGACACCAAGAUGGAGGUUAUUAGACAUCAUGUUGUCAAACGACCUCCCGGGCGAUGAUGAAAACCAAUUUUAUCAGUCGACAUGAAUGACUGAACGAUAAAUCAACACCGAAUAAUGGAUGAACCGACCUAGCGUUGCUUUACCUAUUGGAUGGCUAAUAAUCUUUGUGGCUUGUUGUUUUGCUAUUGGGACUUAACCCUAGUUGAGCCUACUUACCAUAUUAUAACUUACCUUAAGUGGUCUUUGGACUAAUAUAUAUAUUGGAAAUUCUCUCCUUCUCCUUUGUGCCGUGCGUGAGAGAACCCGAGACAGAGAGGCAUUCUUCUUCUUCUUCUCCUUCAUGCAUCAUGUCAAUUAAUCUUCCCUACCAAUUUCUUGAGGCUUUGUGACUCUUACCUGUGUGGUAUCCAUCCUAAGUGUGUGGUAGAAUCAACAAGCAAAUGAGCAAUAGCAACCAUAGGAAGAAAUUGGUGCCGGCGGUCGGUCAUCUCGAUUUUGGUGUUGAAUUCGAUGUUUAAUGGUUAACUGAGCCCGGAAAUCACUUUGAGCAGCUUGAGGAAGAUCCUAACACUCCAGUUUAUUCUUGAGUGGAGGAUCACACUCUACCUCCGGUAGGAUGCAGCAAUCUACCAAUAAACACAAACAGAAAGCACUCUGUUGUUGAGGCUACAGCCAUUGAAACGCUAUUUUUUACUGCUACAGACUCGUAUUGCCCAAUCUGAUUCAGGUUUUAAACAUAGUGACACAGUUUUGAAAUGUUAAAAGCAAUUAACAUUGUCUAUACUGUUGUUUGAGCUAGUGAAUUUAUGCGACUUUCCAUACUAAAACUCUAUAGUUUUAUGUGAUUUUCAUAAUUUUUUCGACUAAGAUAAAAAUGAUUAGCUUACACACUUAUCCCAAGAGAAUAAAGAAAAGAAAAUACACGCACGUGGACAACAAUUAUUUAGUCUUGACAGAACCUUGCAUUUUAAUUAAACUGACAACAGUACAGUUAGAUAUUUAAUAUGGGUACAAGAAAAUUAAUUAAUUAUUUGAAGAUAAAGGUGGCAGAAUGAAAUGACUUUCAUUAAAAGGAAAAGAUCAAGCAAAUUAGGAAAUGAAGUUUAAUGGUGUUUACCUCUGUCACAGCUCUUGGCCCCAUGCAGUCAUCGUGAAGACCCUUUGGAAGUAGUAAACUGAGAGAUCUGUAACAAUUUUUCCUGCUUUGGAAGAGGUAAACUGAGAGAUCUGCAAAAAUUUUUAGCACAUCAAAGCAUUAAUUCAUGAAACUUAAUAAAAUUGUAUGAUUUGAUCUCCCAUUAAGAAAUUAUUUGCUAACAAAACUUAGCAAAGCAAUAUCUGCAGAGACAAGUGAAAAUAGUACAUUGUUCAGACAAACUUAGAAUAGAUGAUAGCAUCUAAAAGCACCACCACUUGUUAUAGAAAUUGAAUUUGGCUGCAACGUUCCUUGGGCGAUGCAAUUGGAAAACUUUAAAGUUGAUGGAAAAAUCAGAUUGAUUGAAAAUGCUUCCGAAAUAGUUACGAAGGUUCUCUAUAAAUUGAAAUGAACAUGUUUAUCUCAUUCUUACAGGCGUGCAUUAAAUACACGAAUUAUUAUAAUACAACUAGAGAGGCUUUAUAAUUUUACAUCUCCAGAUUUUUUCUCCUUUGAUAUUUUGUACAAUGAUGAUGGUUAUGUUUUAUUCAUUCACAAAUCACAUUUACUUGUCACAUCUUGUGUGCCACCCCAAUAUCGCACGCAACGAUUAGAAGAAUCAAGAUUCAAUCACUAAUAGUGACGGAAAAUGCAUUCCCUUUUCUAGGACUUGUUUGCUAACGAUACUACAAAGACUUCACAUCAAACAGCUGAUUAUAAUUAAUUUGCACACCAUCCUAGAUGUCGUAAAUUGCAGCAAUUAACUCUACGAAGUUAGGAAGAUAGCAACAUAUAUCAUGAUGCUCUUAGUUGAGAAUAUAGGAAGUUCUCCAACGUACUUUAAUUAGGAAUUAUCUUAUAUUAUUAUGCAAUCUAAAUCUUAUGAACUGAUCUAUUGUCCCUACCGCUGGAAUAUUGUAAUAAAAGAUUAUUUAUUGUGCUUCCUUUGAAUGAGUGAAUUUCGGAUGAGUGAUGUUUAUACAUAUAAAAGGAAAAGAGGUAGCAUUUGAAAUUGAAUUCUGUCUCUUUUGCCAAUCUCAAUACCUCUUACAUCAUCUUCAAUUGCAGCAAUACAAGCAAACUAAUUUAGCAUCAUAUUCGCCCACAACCCGACUUACAUGUGCAAUCUAUAAUUUUUUUGAAAAGUCUAAUAUUUACAAGCUAAUGAUCAGUUUAACAGAUUGAUAACAUGAAGAUCAUGAAAGGGGAUGGAACUGGGCAACCCAUCUUGAGAAAGUUUUGAAGGUCGAGGCCUUGGGAUCAGAAACUAUUGAUGGAGACAUAGGAAGAAGCUCUAGAUUCAGUUGUCAGAGAACAGGAGGUUGUGAAGGUUGUAUGAUGUUGCCCAACUGAGAAUUGUUAUUCUCUUUAUUCUUGAGUUCGGAGGAUCACACUCUUCACUUUCAGUAAGACGUAGCGAUCUGCCAUUAAAUACAGAUAGAAAGCACUCCGUGGUUGAGUCUACCACUAUUGAAAUUCUAUCUUUACUGCCUUAGUCUCAUAUUGUCCAAUGUGAUUCACGUCAUAAACACAGUGACACAAUUUUGAAAAGUUAAAAGCAAUUAACCUUGUAUAUACAUAAGUUUGAGCCUGUGUUUCUAUAUGUGUAUUGUAUCGAAAGCAAAUUUUUAAAUUUAUAGUACUAUCC